AUGUGUUGUUGCGGACCCAGGGUCACAGUGGUCAUUGGUGAAAUGGACAACUUCUUGGAAUGGCUCCAAUCACAAGGUCUGAGAGCAGAAACAGCCCAAGCAGUGAUCAAUAUACUUGGAAUUGAGAAUCGGAAGGUUCUUCAAGCUUGUACAGACUACGAUUCAUUGCGAACAGAGCUCCUCUCUCUCGCCAAAGAGAAAUUUAAAUUUGCAAUGUAUGCUGACUUCUGUAAAUUUGUGAAAUCUUUUUUGAAGCCGCAGGUUGUCCAGCUUGCAGGCUCUUCUCUGUUGGGAAGUUUAUUCGUCAACUUGGAGAAUGUUAUUCGCGAACUUUCCAGUUUCUGCCAAAAGUUUAUUGGAUUCCAAAAUGUGCAGCUGGAAAAUGUUCCUGGUUUUCGGGGAAUCUGUUUCAGUGAUGUCUGCAACCUCCAUAAUCAGGAUGAUGGAUUAACACCUAAGUCUGACGUCUUCUCGCCUCUCCGCCUGGCGAGGUUGUUGCCAGUCGGAGGCAUGCUGUGCGGCUCGGCCCACAUGGCAUAUGGACAGGCAGCCCAUUUACUUGCACUAACCGCCGGUCACCGUGGACGGCCCGGGAGUUCGGUUCUGCAGCUUAGAAUCAUCUUGCCGGUUGUAAAGUGGAGCCGCUUCCAGCCAUCAUGGUUGGGCCAUGUGCUGGCCAGGGCCCAACCAGAGCCCCCGAUUUGGGUGAUGACACAUCGCUUUGGGUCGUCACCCCACUCCGCACCACAGAGUCUAUAAAGGAACGAAUCGUGGGGCCGUUCGUGCGUUCCCCAUCUGCUGCCCCCACCUUCCUUCACCAGGUCACUGCUGACUCUGCCCUUCUUCAUCGCCUCGUCGCUGGCUCCACCCACCCACCUGAUCUGCCCAUUUGCUUCGGACUCCGCCUUUCUCCACCCACUUGCUUCGGACUCCGCCUUUCUCCACCCACUGCUUCGGACUCCGCCUUUCUCCACUCACUGCUUCGGACUCCACCUUUCUCCACUCAUUGCUUCGUACUCCGGCUUUCUCCACUCACUGCUUCGGAUUCCGCCUUUCUCCACUCACUGCUUCGGACUCUGCCUUUCUCCACUCGAUGCUUCGGACUCUGCCUUUCUCCACUCGCUGCUUCGGACUCCGCCUUUCUCCACUCGCUGCUUCGGACUCCGCCUUUCUCCACUCGCUGCUUCGGUCUCCGCCUUUCUCCACUCGCUACUUCGGACUCCGCCUUUCUCCACUCGCUGCUUCGGACUCUGCCCAAAGUCCUUCCUUCAUGCCUGACAGUCACACCCUAUUCUCUGGAUUGAAGCCAGCUGCACGAAGUGCUACGAAGUGGGAGAGGAGGUGCCAGCUCUCAGGGAGGUUUUGCCCAGUGGAGCAUCCCCCUAAAAUGUACUGGCGGCGUGGUCGGGCAAUUGUGCAAGGUAUUGAGAGACCGUUAUCCUCAUCUCCUCUCCUUUUUCUCUUCAUUAACUCCUCUUCGUGUGUGUGUGUGUGUGUGUGUGUGUGUGUGUGUGUGUGUGUGGGGGGGGGGGGGGGGGGGGGGGGGGGGGGGGGGGGGGGGGGGGGGGGGGGUGUGUGUGUGUGUGUGUGUGUGUGUGUGUGUGUGUGUGUGUGUGUGUGUGUGUGUGUGUGUGUGAGAUGGCGCCUGUCCUAUGUUUAAGUUUAGAGUCUGGAAGAGUUACAUCAGGAUAACUCUGCUCUGUGCCUGCUUUUGUUUGUUGCUUGUAUUGUCGCACCUCUCACGUUUCUUGCUAUCUUCCACACAAUAAACUAUUCAUUGUACCGCAUAGCUUUCCUCACCUGCCUGUAAUAAAUCCUUUGUAUAAAUGUUCCCAGCUCUUUUUUUGUCAUUUUCUUUCAUUGAUCCAGCAUGGUCCGUAUCCUAGCCGAGCCAGGAUUUUAUUCCCAAUGAUCCGUUCAUUUUAGCCUGUACGUCCUUGGCAGAGUCGCUUGGCUGCAUCUGAUACGGUAAAGUGAUCUGGUUCGGACAAGGCAUACCGAGGGUGUGUCACGUGAUUAAUUAGGUAACCUGGUUAACCCAUAGACGGAGGAUCCUAAGUCACGUGGUUGAGUUAUUGGCGUUCACGGACGGUUAGUGACUUGUCGCGUCACGGAAUUAUCCGUGUGCGACGGCCUGCAAUUCCUGGGAGUCUGGUGGGAGCCAAGAUAGCUUCCCCCCCUGGAGGUCUUCUCAACUGACCCCCGGCCUGGAACAAUAUAAACCUUGGGGAAAACACCAGCUAUGGUCACAUAAAUGUGAAACACACCCUCGCGUUGGGGAGGUUUUGACACAUUUAAUUGAGCGUGUAAAUUGGAAACGGUGCCCGAGGAAGCCACAUUGGAGGAAGUUUUAUUGUAUAUGAGGUGUGUUCAAAAAGUAUCCAACCUUAAUUUUUCGUGCGUAAACAAAUGAAGCUAGGGAGGCGUGGUUUGGUGCACGUAUGUAGGCGAUCCUAAUAUGUAUGCGUGAAUAUUUUCCCGCAUGCAGAAGCUGUCAGUCGCCGACAGACCGCCGAUGAGUGACAAAGUGUAAGUGAGCAUCGUCGGAUUUUCGUUUUUGUCAAAAUGAUGGAAAACUUGAACAACGCUACUGCUUCAAAUUUUGUGUAAAGCUUGGCGAUUCCCAAGUGGAAAUUAUCUGCAAGAUUCAACAGGCCUUCAGGAAGGAAGCAAUGGGCACCACAGAUAAAAGAGUGGUACAACCACUUCAAAGAUGGUCGCACAUCAGUGGAAAGUGAAGCACGUUAUGGUUGGCCAUCAACAUCCCGAAAUGAGAUCGUCAUUGACCAAGUGAGGACCCUGCUGAUGCAGGAUCGUCGAACCACGAUCAGAGAACUUGCGGACGAGGCGUACGUCAGCAUUGGAUCCGUUCUUUCCAUUGUGACUGAGGAUUUGGGCUUAAGGAGAAUCUCAGUGAAGUUCGUGCCAAAGCUGAUAACGAUCGAGCAGAAGCAAUUCCGUUUGGAGAUCGCAAAGGACAUGCUGGAGACUGUGAACAGCGAUCCCAACUUCUUCAACACAGUGAUCAGUGGCGAUGAGACCACAGUGAACUGACUGCGCUCACUUACACUUCCUCACUCAUCGGCGGUCUGUCGGCGACUGACAGUAGGCCGUCAGCCGUAAGCUGUAUCGUGCAAUUUCGCUCCACUCAUCGGGGGGGGGGGG
Eptatretus burgeri (inshore hagfish) is the source of this 3165-nucleotide long non-coding RNA. Lineage: Eukaryota; Metazoa; Chordata; Myxini; Myxiniformes; Myxinidae. The record is from Ensembl.